RNAcentral lists this ribosomal RNA (497 nucleotides) under uncultured bacterium. RNAcentral's name for it is "partial 16S ribosomal RNA". It matches the Rfam family "Bacterial small subunit ribosomal RNA", at positions 28 to 507 of the family's 1533-position model. The record is from RNAcentral.
GAUGAACGCUGGCGGCGGGCCUAACACAUGCAAGUCGAGCGAACAGACGAGGAGCUCGCUCCUCUGACGGUAGCGGCGGACGGGUGAGUAACACGUGGAUAACCUACCUAUAAGACUGGGAUAACUACGGGAAACCGGAUACAAUACCGGAUAAUAUAUUGAACCGGAGGGAUCAAUAGAGAAAGAGGGCUUUGCUGACACUAAGAGAUGGUGUCGGGUCGCAUUAGCUAGUUGGUAAGGUAACGGCCUACCAAGGCGACGAUGCGUAGCCGACCUGAGAGGAUGAUCAGCCACACUGGAACUGAGACACGGUCCAGACUCCUACGGGAGGCAGCAGUAGGGAAUAUUGCACAAUGGGCGAAAGCCUGACGGAGCAACGCCGCGUGAGUGAAGAAGGUCUUCGGAUCGUAAAGCUCUGUUAUUAGGGAAGAACAAAAGUGUGAGUAACUAUGCACGUCUUGACGGUACCUAAAGAGAAAGCACCGGCUAACUACGUG